Molecule: ribosomal RNA, 379 nt
Filed under: uncultured bacterium
Lineage: Bacteria
Description: bacterial SSU rRNA
Rfam family: Bacterial small subunit ribosomal RNA
Source: RNAcentral
AGCACGGGGGCAACCCUGGUGGCGAGCGGCGAACGGGUGAGUAACACAUCGGAACAUGCCCAGUCGUGGGGGAUAACACUUCGAAAGAAGUGCUAAUACCGCAUACGUCCUGAGGGAGAAAGCGGGGGAUCGCAAGACCUCGCGCGAUUGGAGUGGCCGAUGUCAGAUUAGCUAGUUGGUGGGGUAAAGGCCUACCAAGGCAACGAUCUGUAGCUGGUCUGAGAGGAUGAUCAGCCACACUGGGACUGAGACACGGCCCAGACUCCUACGGGAGGCAGCAGUGGGGAAUUUUGGACAAUGGGCGCAAGCCUGAUCCAGCCAUGCCGCGUGCGGGAAGAAGGCCUUCGGGUUGUAAACCGCUUUUGUCAGGGAAGAAACG